AGAGUUUGAUCAUGGCUCACAAUCAAGUAUGGCGGCGUGCCUAACACAUGCAAGUCGAACGAGAAAGUGGAGCUUGCUUCACGAGUACAGUGGCAAACGGGUGAGUAACACGUGAACAAUCUACCCUCGAGUGGGGAAUAACACCGCGAAAGCGGUGCUAAUACCGCAUAACAUCUCCGGGUCGCAUGGCCUGGAGAUCAAAAGCGCAAGUUGCUUGAGGAGGAGUUCGCGCCUGAUUAGCUUGUUGGUGAGGUAACGGCUCACCAAGGCUCCGAUCAGUAGCCGGCCUGAGAGGGCGAACGGCCACACUGGAACUGAGACACGGUCCAGACUCCUACGGGAGGCAGCAGUGGGGAAUUUUGCGCAAUGGGCGAAAGCCUGACGCAGCAACGCCGCGUGGAGGAUGAAGGCCCUCGGGUCGUAAACUCCUGUCAGUGGGGAAGAAUGCUUCGCAAGAAGUUUGACUGUACCCAUUGAGGAAGCCACGGCUAACUCCGUGCCAGCAGCCGCGGUAAUACGGAGGUGGCAAGCGUUUGUUCCGGAAUUACUGG
Molecule: ribosomal RNA, 551 nt
Filed under: uncultured bacterium
Lineage: Bacteria
Description: bacterial SSU rRNA
Rfam family: Bacterial small subunit ribosomal RNA
Source: RNAcentral